This 1382-nucleotide long non-coding RNA is filed under the name Myripristis murdjan (pinecone soldierfish). RNAcentral describes it as "lncRNA (ENSMMDG00005018798.1)". The record is from RNAcentral. Lineage: Eukaryota; Metazoa; Chordata; Actinopteri; Holocentriformes; Holocentridae.
GUGAGGCCAAUGAUAUGAAAGGUAAUGCUUCCUCGGAGGCUGCACAACCGACAACAGAAUGUGGAAAGAGUGCGUCAGAGCAGGAAGGUGAACCAUCUGUACCAGCCAAGCCUUCCAUCAACUUGGAGGAGAUCAGAGCCGAGAUCAGAGCAGAGAUCAAGGCAAAGAUCGAGGAGGAGGCUUAUAGCAAAGGCUACCAAGAGGGACUAAAGCAAAGCAAAGAGCUCCAGGAAGUGAAGGCAGAAGAGGAGAAAGUUGAGGAGAAAUUGCUGGAGACAGAAAGCAAGGAUGAAGAGGGUGGAAAAAAGAUUAAGACAAACAGGAUGGAGGAGAUCCUGCUCGUCCUUGACCGCUUUUGCCCCAAGAUUUCUUGGAAUAACCGAGUGCUCUGGGCUGUCCUAACGUUGUUCCUGGUGACAUUUCUGAUCGUCAACCUUUUUACCUACUUCAGCGACUACUCCAGCAGCUAUGGGGACACGUCGGCAGAAAAAGACAUUGUCCAAGGCCAGAAGACAAUCUUUGGACUGAAUGUAGCAGCACAACCAAAGAAGCCCACUACAGAAUAACAGAGAGACCCCCAAGCCGUUUCUCCACGCCACGUCUGCAGGGUCUUACCAUGUCACUACACGAGACCUGACUUGAAUCCACGACUCUGACUUUCUACCGUCAAAGAAUGUAGAUUUGGGAGGCUUCUCUGGGUUUGGUAGUGAAGCCUUUUUCACGGUUAACAUAAUUAAGUUAUAAUUUUCUUUUGCUAGGAAAGUGUCCACGUUGUUCAUAGCAACAAGAGGCAAAAAUAAUUUCUGUGUAGGGACCAAUCAUAUAGUGUGAUGAAAUAUACAUACAGUAUAUAUUUAAAUUAGAUGCAUACUUUAUUAUUAUACGUUUGGUUCAGGUACUCUUGAUGGAGUCAAUGUGGUACUGUGGAUUUUCCUUAAAUGCCACAACAGACAGAAGACAAAGUGUAUAUUUAUCGACACUCUAAUGUUUAAUGUAUAAUCUGUCAGGUCCAGUGGAUGAGAAAGCCCCUGAGAGAUUUUUUUUAGUCAUAUUUAAAGAUAUAGAAAUAAAAAGAAUGUUUGUUUUUCUCUAGCAAAAAUUUCUAUAUUGUGUAUUUAAGCAUUUGACAUUUUGAAGACUGUUAAAAUGUAAGCACAUUCCAAAGUAGAUCCUUAAGUGCAAUAUGUUGCAGCUGAUGGUUUCAUGUGUGUUAUUUUGGUUUGUGUCUUCAGAGCACUGAGAGAUUUUCUUUGUAUGAGAGCACUCUAUAGACAGCAUGAGACUUUUUGAUCUUUGCACAUGUGUGCCUACCUGAUGUUUUUUUUUUUGUUUUUGUUUUUUUUUGUUUUGUUUUAUGGUAUGGUUUUAUGCUCCACCACCUC